RNAcentral lists this ribosomal RNA (206 nucleotides) under uncultured bacterium. RNAcentral's name for it is "partial 16S ribosomal RNA". It matches the Rfam family "Bacterial small subunit ribosomal RNA", at positions 568 to 774 of the family's 1533-position model. The record is from RNAcentral.
CGCGUAGGCGGCGCGGGCAGUCAACGGUGAAAGCUCGGGGCUCAACCCCGAGUCGGCCGUCGAUACUCCCGUGCUUGAGCACUGUAGAGGCAGGUGGAAUUCCGGGUGUAGCGGUGGAAUGCGUAGAGAUCCGGAAGAACACCGGUGGCGAAGGCGGCCUGCUGGGCAGUAGCUGACGCUGAGGCGCGACAGCGUGGGAGCAAACA